Molecule: ribosomal RNA, 501 nt
Filed under: uncultured bacterium
Lineage: Bacteria
Description: partial 16S ribosomal RNA
Rfam family: Bacterial small subunit ribosomal RNA
Source: RNAcentral
AUUGAACGCUGGCGGCAGGCUUAACACAUGCAAGUCGAGCGGGGGAAGGUAGCUUGCUACCGGACCUAGCGGCGGACGGGUGAGUAAUGCUUAGGAAUCUGCCUAUUAGUGGGGGACAACAUCUCGAAAGGGAUGCUAAUACCGCAUACGUCCUACGGGAGAAAGCAGGGGAUCUUCGGACCUUGCGCUAAUAGAUGAGCCUAAGUCGGAUUAGCUAGUUGGUGGGGUAAAGGCCUACCAAGGCGACGAUCUGUAGCGGGUCUGAGAGGAUGAGCCGCCACACUGGGACUGAGACACGGGCCAGACUCCUACAGGAGGCAGCAGUGGGGAAUAUUGGACAAUGGGGGGAACCCUGAUCCAGCCAUGCCGCGUGUGUGAAGAAGGCCUUAUGGUUGUAAAGCACUUUAAGCGAGGAGGAGGCUACUUUAGUUAAUACCUAGAGAUAGUGGACGUUACUCGCAGAAUAAGCACCGGCUAACUCUGUGCCAGCAGCCGCCGUAA